Molecule: ribosomal RNA, 380 nt
Filed under: uncultured Anabaena sp.
Lineage: Bacteria; Bacillati; Cyanobacteriota; Cyanophyceae; Nostocales; Nostocaceae
Description: bacterial SSU rRNA
Rfam family: Bacterial small subunit ribosomal RNA
Source: RNAcentral
UAAUUCAUACCUGACUGAGCAUACCGCGUGAGGGAGGAAGGCUCUUGGGUUGUAAACCUCUCCUCUCAGGGAAUAAAAAAAUGAAGGUACCUGAGGAAUAAGCAUCGGCUAACUCCGUGCCAGCAGCCGCGGUAAUACGGAGGAUGCAAGCGUUAUCCGGAAUGAUUGGGCGUAAAGCGUCCGCAGGUGGCACUGUAAGUCUGCUGUUAAAGAGCAAGGCUCAACCUUGUAAAGGCAGUGGAAACUACAGAGCUAGAGUACGUUCGGGGCAGAGGGAAUUCCUGGUGUAGCGGUGAAAUGCGUAGAGAUCAGGAAGAACACCGGUGGCGAAAGCGCUCUGCUAGGCCGUAACUGACACUGAGGGACGAAAGCUAGGGGAG